Molecule: ribosomal RNA, 492 nt
Filed under: uncultured bacterium
Lineage: Bacteria
Description: partial 16S ribosomal RNA
Rfam family: Bacterial small subunit ribosomal RNA
Source: RNAcentral
AGUGAACGCUGGCGGUAGGCCUAACACAUGCAAGUCGAACGGCAGCACAGUAAGAGCUUGCUCUUACGGGUGGCGAGUGGCGGACGGGUGAGGAAUACAUCGGAAUCUAUUUUUUCGUGGGGGAUAACGUAGGGAAACUUACGCUAAUACUGCAUACGACCUACGGGUGAAAGCAGGGGAUCUUCGGACCUUGCGCGAUUGAAUGAGCCGAUGUCGGAUUAGCUAGUUGGCGGGGUAAAGGCCCACCAAGGCGACGAUCCGUAGCUGGUCUGAGAGGAUGAUCAGCCACACUGGAACUGAGACACGGUCCAGACUCCUACGGGAGGCAGCAGUGGGGAAUAUUGGACAAAGGACGCAAGCCUGAUCCAGCCAUACCGCGUGGGUGAAGAAGGCCUUCGGGUUGUAAAGCCCUUUUGUUGGGAAAGAAAAGCAGCAGGUUAAUACCCCGCUGUUCUGACGGUACCCAAAGAAUAAGCACCGGCUAACUUCGUG